This 504-nucleotide ribosomal RNA is filed under the name uncultured bacterium. Its description in RNAcentral is "partial 16S ribosomal RNA". It matches the Rfam family "Bacterial small subunit ribosomal RNA", at positions 28 to 523 of the family's 1533-position model. The record is from RNAcentral.
GACGAACGCUGGCGGCGUGCUUAACACAUGCAAGUCGAACGGUAGCACAGAGAGCUUGCUCUCGGGUGACGAGUGGCGGACGGGUGAGUAACGUCUGGGAAACUGCCCGAUGGAGGGGGAUAACUACUGGAAACGGUAGCUAAUACCGCAUAACGUCGCAAGACCAAAGUGGGGGACCUUCGGGCCUCACACCAUCGGAUGUGCCCAGAUGGGAUUAGCUAGUAGGUGGGGUAAUGGCUCACCUAGGCGACGAUCCCUAGCUGGUCUGAGAGGAUGACCCGCCACACUGGAACUGAGACACGGUCCAGACUCCUACGGGAGGCAGCAGUGGGGAAUAUUGCACAAUGGGCGCAAGCCUGAUGCAGCCAUGCCGCGUGUAUGAAGAAGGCCUUCGGGUUGUAAAGUACUUUCAGCGGGGAGGAAGGCGAUGUGGUUAAUAACCGCAUUGAUUGACGUUACCCGCAGAAGAAGCACCGGCUAACUCCGUGCCAGCCGCCGCGGUAA